RNAcentral lists this ribosomal RNA (500 nucleotides) under uncultured bacterium. RNAcentral describes it as "partial 16S ribosomal RNA". It matches the Rfam family "Bacterial small subunit ribosomal RNA", at positions 30 to 523 of the family's 1533-position model. The record is from RNAcentral.
AUUGAACGCUGGCGGAAUGCUUUACACAUGCAAGUCGAGCGGCAGCACGGACUUCGGUCUGGUGGCGAGUGGCGAACGGGUGAGUAAUGUAUCGGAACGUGCCCAGUCGUGGGGGAUAACGUAGUGAAAAUUACGCUAAUACCGCAUACGAUCUAUGGAUGAAAGCGGGGGAUCGCAAGACCUCGCGCGAUUGGAGCGGCCGAUAUCAGAUUAGGUAGUUGGUGGGGUAAAGGCCCACCAAGCCAACGAUCUGUAGCUGGUCUGAGAGGACGACCAGCCACACUGGAACUGAGACACGGUCCAGACUCCUACGGGAGGCAGCAGUGGGGAAUUUUGGACAAUGGGCGAAAGCCUGAUCCAGCCAUUCCGCGUGCAGGAUGAGGGCCCUCGGGUUGUAAACUGCUUUUGUACAGAACGAAAAGGUUUCUACUAAUACUAGGAGCUCAUGACGGUACUGUAAGAAUAAGCACCGGCUAACUACGUGCCAGCCGCCGCGGUAA